RNAcentral lists this ribosomal RNA (77 nucleotides) under Staphylococcus capitis. Its description in RNAcentral is "partial 16S ribosomal RNA". It matches the Rfam family "Bacterial small subunit ribosomal RNA", at positions 1 to 77 of the family's 1533-position model. Lineage: Bacteria; Bacillati; Bacillota; Bacilli; Caryophanales; Staphylococcaceae. The record is from RNAcentral.
UUUAUGGAGAGUUUGAUCCUGGCUCAGGGUGAACGCUGGCGGCGUGCCUAAUACAUGCAAGUCGAGCGAACAGACGA